RNAcentral lists this microRNA (22 nucleotides) under Gallus gallus (chicken). RNAcentral describes it as "gga-miR-12227-3p". The record is from miRBase by way of RNAcentral. Lineage: Eukaryota; Metazoa; Chordata; Aves; Galliformes; Phasianidae.
CUGCCCUCAUUGCUCCUCAAAG